Molecule: long non-coding RNA, 803 nt
Organism: Helianthus annuus (common sunflower)
Lineage: Eukaryota; Viridiplantae; Streptophyta; Magnoliopsida; Asterales; Asteraceae
Exons: 3
Source: RefSeq, a predicted model, not a curated record
UUUACAGGCGACUUGGCAUUAUUUUACAUGUGAAAAUCUAGGGAUGCUGGAAGUUUCUUUUAAAGUCGUUAAAGAAACUAUGACACAUAUGUUUGAAGAGAUCAGAGAUCUGUUACUACAGAAUAACGUACUUCAAAGCAAUCUACCACAACUUAUUGAUAACAGAUGAUGCCUUACCUUGAUGCAGGAUAAAGUUACUUACUCAUUAAUCUUGGCAAACGAAGAAAACGACACAACAGAAAAAGACGGGGAAGAUGACAGGUAGCGGCAGCGCGUAGGACAAAACUAUUCAUAAACAUUAGGACAUAAACACGACGAUUUCUCAUGCUAUCACCGUAUCAUGAAAGUUGAAACAAAAAAGAAACGAACAUGCUUAUAAAUUAACUGUCAUGUAAGUAAUUAAUCUUGUAUAAUGUGCACAUCAUGGUCAGAUACAGGACAAGGCAGAAUUGUUCUUUGAAUUGUUUUCAUCAAGUGUUUAAUGAAAUGCCCAAUUAAGUUUUGAUUCUGCAAGAGAGAGACGGAAAGGAGAGCUGGGAACGACCGGAAGUUGUGGUGGCUGUGUGACCGAGGUAUAAUUGAAUUGAAGUUCGUAGAAGUAAUUUUAUACAUCAGCUUCAAAAGGUGAACUACCAAUCAAAGAAUCUCAUCUCUGGUGCCACUUUCAAACAGGACUUUUGAGGGAGUGCAAAGAAAUUUUUACUCUGGUUUUUUAAUUGCUUAUAAUUGCUACGUCAACUUAGACACCUCUUAAAUCCCCAAUGGCUGGAACUUUAUAUCGGGCUCUUGUGCCAGGAGCUCCC